GAUGAACGCUGGCGGCGUGCCUAAUACAUGCAAGUCGAGCGAAUGGAUUAAGAGCUUGCUCUUAUGAAGUUAGCGGCGGACGGGUGAGUAACACGUGGGUAACCUGCCCAUAAGACUGGGAUAACUCCGGGAAACCGGGGCUAAUACCGGAUAACAUUUUGAACUGCAUGGUUCGAAAUUGAAAGGCGGCUUCGGCUGUCACUUAUGGAUGGACCCGCGUCGCAUUAGCUAGUUGGUGAGGUAACGGCUCACCAAGGCAACGAUGCGUAACCGACCUGAGAGGGUGAUCGGCCACACUGGGACUGAGACACGGCCCAGACUCCUACGGGAGGCAGCAGUAGGGAAUCUUCCGCAAUGGACGAAAGUCUGACGGAGCAACGCCGCGUGAGUGAUGAAGGCUUUCGGGUCGUAAAACUCUGUUGUUAGGGGAGAACAAGUGCUAGUUGAAUAAGCUGGCACCUUGACGGUACCUAACCAGAAAGCCACGGCUAACUACGUGCCAGCCGCCGCGGUAA
RNAcentral lists this ribosomal RNA (515 nucleotides) under uncultured bacterium. RNAcentral's name for it is "partial 16S ribosomal RNA". It matches the Rfam family "Bacterial small subunit ribosomal RNA", at positions 28 to 523 of the family's 1533-position model. The record is from RNAcentral.